RNAcentral lists this ribosomal RNA (456 nucleotides) under uncultured bacterium. RNAcentral describes it as "bacterial SSU rRNA". It matches the Rfam family "Bacterial small subunit ribosomal RNA", at positions 335 to 783 of the family's 1533-position model. The record is from RNAcentral.
ACUCCUACGGGAGGCAGCAGUAGGGAAUCUUCCACAAUGGGCGCAAGCCUGAUGGAGCAACACCGCGUGAGUGAAGAAGGGUUUCGGCUCGUAAAGCUCUGUUGUUAAAGAAGAACACGUAUGAGAGUAACUGUUCAUACGUUGACGGUAUUUAACCAGAAAGUCACGGCUAACUACGUGCCAGCAGCCGCGGUAAUACGUAGGUGGCAAGCGUUAUCCGGAUUUAUUGGGCGUAAAGAGAGUGCAGGCGGUUUUCUAAGUCUGAUGUGAAAGCCUUUCGGCUUAACCGGAGAAGUGCAUCGGAAACUGGAUAACUUGAGUGCAGAAGAGGUAGUGGAACUCCAUGUGUAGCGGUGGAAUGCGUAGAUAUAUGGAAGAACACCAGUGGCGAAGGCGGCUACCUGGUCUGCAACUGACGCUGAGACUCGAAAGCAUGGGUAGCGAACAGGAUUAGAU